This 253-nucleotide ribosomal RNA is filed under the name uncultured bacterium. RNAcentral describes it as "partial 16S ribosomal RNA". It matches the Rfam family "Bacterial small subunit ribosomal RNA", at positions 524 to 776 of the family's 1533-position model. The record is from RNAcentral.
UACGAAGGGGGCUAGCGUUGUUCGGAAUUACUGGGCGUAAAGCGCACGUAGGCGGAUACUUAAGUUAGGGGUGAAAUCCCAGAGCUCAACUCUGGAACUGCCUCUAAUACUGGGUAUCUCGAGUUCGAGAGAGGUGAGUGGAAUUCCGAGUGUAGAGGUGAAAUUCGUAGAUAUUCGGAGGAACACCAGUGGCGAAGGCGGCUCACUGGCUCGAUACUGACGCUGAGACACGAAAGCGUGGGGAGCAAACAGG